RNAcentral lists this ribosomal RNA (447 nucleotides) under uncultured bacterium. RNAcentral describes it as "bacterial SSU rRNA". It matches the Rfam family "Bacterial small subunit ribosomal RNA", at positions 355 to 825 of the family's 1533-position model. The record is from RNAcentral.
UCGGGAAUUUUGGACAAUGGGCGCAAGCCUGAUCCAGCCAUGCCGCGUGAGUGAUGAAGGCCCUAGGGUUGUAAAACUCUUUCGCCGGAGAAGAUAAUGACGGUAUCCGGAGAAGAAGCCCCGGCUAACUUCGUGCCAGCAGCCGCGGUAAUACGAAGGGGGCUAGCGUUGUUCGGAAUUACUGGGCGUAAAGCGCACGUAGGCGGGUUUGUAAGUAGGGGGUGAAAUCCCAGGGCUCAACCCUGGAACUGCCUUCUAAACUGCAAGCCUGGAGGUCAGGAGAGGCGAGUGGAAUACCCAGUGUAGAGGUGAAAUUCGUAGAUAUUGGGAAGAACACCAGUGGCGAAGGCGGCUAACUGGUCCGGUACUGACGCUGAGGUGCGAAAGCGUGGGGAGCAAACAGGAUUAGAUACCCUAGUAGUCCCUGAGCGGGCUGGCAAGGCGCAU